This 254-nucleotide ribosomal RNA is filed under the name uncultured Pseudomonas sp. Its description in RNAcentral is "partial 16S ribosomal RNA". It matches the Rfam family "Bacterial small subunit ribosomal RNA", at positions 96 to 354 of the family's 1533-position model. The record is from RNAcentral. Lineage: Bacteria; Pseudomonadati; Pseudomonadota; Gammaproteobacteria; Pseudomonadales; Pseudomonadaceae.
CGGCGGACGGGUGAGUAAUGCCUAGGAAUCUGCCUGGUAGUGGGGGACAACGUUUCGAAAGGAACGCUAAUACCGCAUACGUCCUACGGNGAAGCAGGGACCUUCGGGCCUUGCGCUAUCAGAUGAGCCUAGGUCGGAUUAGCUAGUUGGUGAGGUAAUGGCUCACCAAGGCGACGAUCCGUAACUGGUCUGAGAGGAUGAUCAGUCACACUGGAACUGAGACACGGUCCAGACUCCUACGGGAGGCAGCAGAC